This 214-nucleotide unclassified non-coding RNA is filed under the name uncultured fungus. RNAcentral's name for it is "sequence contains ITS1". The record is from RNAcentral. Lineage: Eukaryota; Fungi.
AGUUUAAAGAUGUGUUACAUCAAUUACAUUCAAUAUACAUAUGCGUAUGAUUUUAUGUGGAGCAGACAGACGCCCGAGGGCACUUCCGUCUUCACGAGUGCACAGGUGUGUGUGGAUGAAAGAGAAGGCGUGCACAUGCCCAGCAGAGAGGGCCAGCGACAACCAACUCUACAUUCGUUCAAUAAUGAUCCUUCCGCAGGUUCACCUACGGAAA